GAUUGUAGUAGCUGGAGCAGGGGGGUGGAGACUUGGGAAGUAGAUUUGUCUCCUUCCACAGCACUGACUGAGCUAGGAAGCAUUCCACAUUCCAACUGGCCAAGAAAAACACAGCCCAGCACUGGUAGGGAGGCAGCCAUCGGGGAACAGCUGAACCACCAUGGUCAUCCAGCCUCUCAAAGACUGUCACCGCAAGAGUGAAGCCAGAGCCUGCGGUUUCCUGUCAUCCUCUCUGGGACACAGCUCAGUCUUCCAAUGACUCAUGGCCAGUGGCGUGCAAAGAUUUCACGUCCCAUCUCCAACAGAGCCCAACCUGUGCAGAGCCACGGCCGUUCCCACUGCUUCUUCCUCAUGGGUUGCUUAAUGAGGGGAUUAAUGAUGACCAGGAUGUGAGUGGACGUCUUCACAUAAGCAGCCCGGCUGUAAAACUGGCCGUGCACAGAAUCCAUUUAAAGGGAUGGAAGAUUGAUGUCCAUGGCAUCCUCUGAACCUAAGAUCCUAAGACAUGUCACCCAUAAUCUGGUCACACCAUCCAAAAGAAACCCUGAAGGCACAGGAACAUGAAAUGUUCAAACAUACUUUGAAGACAAAGCAUAUUUUCUUCUUGUUG
This 610-nucleotide long non-coding RNA is filed under the name Homo sapiens (human). Its description in RNAcentral is "HSALNT0054891". Lineage: Eukaryota; Metazoa; Chordata; Mammalia; Primates; Hominidae. The record is from RNAcentral.